RNAcentral lists this transfer RNA (72 nucleotides) under Camelus bactrianus (Bactrian camel). It matches the Rfam family "tRNA". Rfam says of the family: Transfer RNA (tRNA) molecules are approximately 80 nucleotides in length. RNAcentral also lists the same sequence under 1 other name. Lineage: Eukaryota; Metazoa; Chordata; Mammalia; Artiodactyla; Camelidae. The record is from Rfam by way of RNAcentral.
GAGGGUAUAGAUCAGCGGCAGAACGCACGCUUAGCAUGCACGAGGUCCUGGGUUCAAUCCCCAGUACCUCCU